ACCUUCGUGGUAUAGUGGUCAGCACGCUCGACGCGUAUUCGAGAGGUCCGUGGUUCGAGUCCCGGCGAGGGCA
Molecule: transfer RNA, 73 nt
Filed under: Stegodyphus mimosarum
Lineage: Eukaryota; Metazoa; Arthropoda; Arachnida; Araneae; Eresidae
Rfam family: tRNA
About the family: Transfer RNA (tRNA) molecules are approximately 80 nucleotides in length.
Source: Rfam by way of RNAcentral